UACAGAGGGGGCAAGCGUUGUUCGGAAUUACUGGGCGUAAAGGGCGCGUAGGCGGCCUGUUAAGUCGAACGUGAAAUCCCCGGGCUCAACCCGGGAACUGCGUCCGAUACUGGCAGGCUUGAAUCCGGGAGAGGGAUGUGGAAUUCCAGGUGUAGCGGUGAAAUGCGUAGAUAUCAGGAGGAACACCGGUGGCGAAGGCGGCUCUCUGGGCUUGUUCUGACGCUGAGGAGCGAAAGCGUGGGGAGCGAACAGG
RNAcentral lists this ribosomal RNA (253 nucleotides) under uncultured bacterium. Its description in RNAcentral is "partial 16S ribosomal RNA". It matches the Rfam family "Bacterial small subunit ribosomal RNA", at positions 524 to 776 of the family's 1533-position model. The record is from RNAcentral.